AAAUUUUUAGUUUUAUUAAAAUAUUAAAUUGCAAAUUUAAAGAAAUAUUAAAUUAAUAUAAAAUUUU
This 67-nucleotide transfer RNA is filed under the name Euceros kiushuensis. RNAcentral's name for it is "tRNA-Cys". The record is from RNAcentral. Lineage: Eukaryota; Metazoa; Arthropoda; Insecta; Hymenoptera; Ichneumonidae.